GAGUUUGAUCCUGGCUCAGGAUGAACGCUGGCGGCGUGCUUAACACAUGCAAGUCGAACGAACCUUCGGGUUAGUGGCGGACGGGUGAGUAACGCGUGAGAAUCUGCCCUCAGGAGGGGGAUAACAGUUGGAAACGACUGCUAAUACCCCAUAUGCCGAGAGGUGAAACGAAUUUUGCCUGGGGAUGAGCUCGCGUCUGAUUAGCUUGUUGGUGGGGUAAAAGCCUACCAAGGCUUCGAUCAGUAGCUGGUCUGAGAGGACGAUCAGCCACACUGGGACUGAGACACGGCCCAGACUCCUACGGGAGGCAGCAGUGGGGAAUUUUCCGCAAUGGGCGCAAGCCUGACGGAGCAACGCCGCGUGAGGGAUGAAGGCCUUUGGGCUGUAAACCUCUUUUCUCAAGGAAGAAGACCUGACGGUACUUGAGGAAUAAGCCACGGCUAAUUCCGUGCCAGCAGCCGCGGUAAUACGGGAGUGGCAAGCGUUAUCCGGAAUUAUUGGGCGUAAAGCGUCCGCAGGCGGCCGUUUAAGUCUGUUGUUAAAUCGUGGAGCUCAACUCCAUCACGGCAAUGGAAACUGUUCGGCUUGAGUAUGGUAGGGGCAGAGGGAAUUUCCGGUGUAGCGGUGAAAUGCGUAGAUAUCGGGAAGAACACCAGUGGCAAAAGCGCUCUGCUGGGCCAUUACUGACGCUCAUGGACGAAAGCCAGGGGAGCGAAAGGGAUUAGAUACCCCUGUAGUCCUGGCCCGUAAACGAUGAACACUAGAUGUUGGGGGAAUCGACCCCUCCGGUGUCGUAGCUAACGCGUUAAGUGUUCCGCCUGGGGAGUACGCACGCAAGUGUGAAACUCAAGG
Molecule: ribosomal RNA, 852 nt
Filed under: uncultured bacterium
Lineage: Bacteria
Description: bacterial SSU rRNA
Rfam family: Bacterial small subunit ribosomal RNA
Source: RNAcentral